RNAcentral lists this ribosomal RNA (427 nucleotides) under uncultured archaeon. RNAcentral's name for it is "bacterial SSU rRNA". It matches the Rfam family "Archaeal small subunit ribosomal RNA", at positions 474 to 903 of the family's 1478-position model. The record is from RNAcentral.
UACCAGCCCCCUGAGUGGUAAGGACGAUUAUUUGGCUUAAAGCGUACGUAGCCGGCUUAGUGAGUCUCUUGUUAAAUCCAAUGAUUCAAUCAUUGAACUGCAAGAGAUACUACUAUGCUAGAGGACGGGAGAGGUCGACGGUAGUCCAAGGGUAGGGGUGAAAUCCUAUAAUCCUUGGAGGACCACCAGUGGCGAAGGCGGUCGACUAGAACGUGCCUGACGGUGAGGGACGAAAGCUGGGGGAGCGAACCGGAUUAGAUACCCGGGUAGUCCCAGCUGUAAACGAUGCGGGCUAGGUGUAGGGGCAGCUACGAGCUGCUCCUGUGCCGCAGAGAAAUUGUUAAGCCCGCCGCCUGGGGAGUACGAUCGCAAGAUUGAAACUUAAAGGAAUUGGCGGGGAGCACCACAAGGGUGAAGGCUGCGGUUU